GAAUCUUGCGCAAUGCGCGAAAGCGUGACGCAGCAACGCCGCGUGGGGGAAGAAGGCCUUCGGGUUGUAAACCCCUUUCAGGAGGGACGAAGGUGCGACGGUGAACAGCCGCUCGCACUGACGGUACCUCCAGAAGAAGCCCCGGCUAACUACGUGCCAGCAGCCGCGGUAAUACGUAGGGGGCAAGCGUUGUCCGGAAUCAUUGGGCGUAAAGCGCGCGUAGGCGGCCCGGUAAGUCCGCUCUGAAAGUCCAAGGCUCAACCUUGGAAUGCGGGUGGAUACUGCCGGGCUAGAGUCCGGAAGAGGCGAGUGGAAUUCCUGGUGUAGCGGUGGAAUGCGCAGAUAUCAGGAGGAACACCAAUAGCGAAGGCAGCUCGCUGGGACGGUACUGACGCUAAGGCGCGAAAGCGUGGGGAGCGAACAGG
This 425-nucleotide ribosomal RNA is filed under the name uncultured bacterium. Its description in RNAcentral is "bacterial SSU rRNA". It matches the Rfam family "Bacterial small subunit ribosomal RNA", at positions 359 to 776 of the family's 1533-position model. The record is from RNAcentral.